Molecule: long non-coding RNA, 8513 nt
Filed under: Brassica rapa (field mustard)
Lineage: Eukaryota; Viridiplantae; Streptophyta; Magnoliopsida; Brassicales; Brassicaceae
Description: long non-coding RNA (BRAP_LNC000345)
Source: RNAcentral
GGGCAGUAAGUCUACCUUUUCGAACCUGGGAAAAAAAUUUAAUUUUUAAAUUUUCGUGAACAAUAUACUUCCCAACAUUAUCCACCUAAUCAACACUAAAUAACAUAAGAUCCGUAAACCUAUCUAAAUUCCCUAUACUAACCACCUAAUCUAUCCUAAACUAAUCAAACUAGAGAGGAAUUAGAGAGACUUUUCAUUGCUACGAAUUAGGGAGGAAGUGGAGAGGAAGUGGAGAGGAAAGACAGAGCGAGAUCGCUCGGGAUAUAUAUAAGAUUACUUGUCCUCGUAAUUUCCUCGUAAACUUACGAGGAAUUACAGAGGCCCGCAUUUUCAUUUACGAGGAAAUAGCGACGAAAUACAAAGGCCCGAGUUUUCGUUAACGACGUUUUUACGACGAGUUGGGUUACGUGGAAUUAACGAGUUAACCAGUUACGAGGAAUUAGCGAGCCUAUAUUUUCUAUAAAUACCCACAACUUUCCUUCUCAAACCACACACAAACUCACAAAACACACCCUAUCUCAAAUCACACACCUCACCAAAAUACUUUUCAAAUUAGAAAUAUUUGAAAAAAAAAAGAAGAAAAGAAGGUAUUAGAAUUUAUGUGGGUGAGACUUAAGUCUCGCCACAUAUAAUUCCAGUAUCUUUCUUUUUUUCUUUUUUACUAGUUUUUAUACUAUGAGGAAGUAGCUAGUCCUGCUUUCCACAAAUUUAGAAAUAUUUGGAAAAAAAGAAAGAGAAGAAGAUAUUAUAAUUUAUGUGGGCGAGACUUAAGUAUUAUAAUUGCUGGAAGUCUUGCCACAUGUAAAUCUGGUGUCUCUCUUCUUUUCCUUUUUUUUCUAGUUUGUAGUCUACGAGGUUUUUACGACGAUUUUUGUUACGAGGUGUUUACGACGAAUUCAUCCUACGUGGAAUUAAAGAGUGCCUCCUUCGUCAUUUACUUUACGUGGUAUUUACGUCUAUUUACCUUACGAGGUCUUUACGACGAUUCCGUCCUACGUGGAAUUAACGGGUUUCGCUUUCUUUAUUUUUUUUAGUUUCGUCGUUAUUUCCACGUAAGCUAACGAAUUCUUUACGACGAUUAUGUCCUACGUGGAAUGAACGAGGAUUACGUCGUACAUUCGACGUCAACUUACGAGGAAUUAACGAGUAGUACGUUUAAAUCCCUAAAAUCCGAAACCCCAAACCCCAAAACCCCAUAUUCCUUAUCUUCUACUUCAUAUAUUCCAAACCCCAUCUUUAUUUCCAUUCCAAACCAUAAUUCCCACAUUUACUUAUUUAUAAAACAAACUCCCACAAUUUCUUAUUCAUAAAACAAACUCCCACAUUACCUUAUUCAUAAAACAAACUCUCACAUUACCUUAUUCAUAAAACAAACUACACAAAAUCAAAUACAUCAAUCGGAUACAUCGACAUUCUCGUCAUCACUAGAAAUAUCAUCAUUUUCAUUAAACUCGUCUUCUACAGCUUCGUCUGUGGCAUCAUCGGUAAGAUCUUCGUAUUCGUGAUUAUGCGGAUCAAUGAGAAGGAUGUCAUCAAUUUCUUGUUCAGGUUCCUCGACUUCAUUUAUCUGUUCUUCUUGCAAUGGUGGUUCUUCUCCACUGAUGAUUCAUCCUCGAGGUGUAACUUUGAUCACUGCUAACCAAUUUAUACCCGAAUCUCUCAUCCAAGGGUAUGGAAGGAAGCUAACUUGGUCUGCUUGUGAAGCUAAGAUGAAAGGCUCGAAUUUGUUGUACCGACGUCCACCGUUGACAUCAACUACACCAAAUUUGUUAGACCGAACACCUCUGUUGACGACGGGGUCGAACCAUUCACAUUUGAAGAUGACGCAUUUCAGCUUCAGUAUCCCUGGAAAUUCGACUUCAAUAAUCUCCGUCAAGAUCCCGUAGAAAUCUGUUUCCCCUUUCACACAUAUUCCAUAGUUACUGGUCGCCCGCUGUCUACCAUACUCAUAUGUGUGAAAAGUGUAGCCUCGUGUGAAAUACAUCUGUGAUGUGGUGACCUUUACAAGUGGAGAUUGAAUUACUUCGUGUAACCACUUAGGAUAAUCUGCAUCGUCGUCAUAAUCAACCUGCAAAAAUAAAGAGAACAUUAAAAUACAAAUCAUGUAUGAAAAAAUAGUUUGAGUUAUAAUACCUGAUUCCGCAACCACUUAAUGAAGUGCUGAUCUUUCCUUUUGUCUACGUCACUUGUGGAUAUACCAGGAAAUGUUUCUUCGACUUGAGAAACAAAUAGGCUGUAAAAUUAAUCACAUUUCAUAGGAAUGAAUCUCUUGCAAUUAUAUAAUUAAUUAUAUGUGUUUUGAAGUGUCCAUAUAUGUUACCUUUCAAAAUAACGCAUCAAUGGAUCCUCGCAAUUGAGUAGAAUAUAGGUGUGUGCACUAUGAGCGUCUUGUUCACUCGACCACCAAACCUCUUUAGACUUCCCACCGAGUCGUCCAAUCUGGCUAAAGAUGUCUGGAACACCAGCAACUGCAUAUGUUGGCGCAACUCCACCAUCAUCAUAUCUUCUUGGAGCUCUUCUACGGGUACGUACUUUUGACGCAAAGUAGUACGAUGUGAAGUGAGAAACUUCUUCCGUCAAACUUCCAGCAAUUAUAGAACCUUCAACUUUGGCGAGGUUCUUUGCUUUUCCCUUCAAAUAUUUCAUGGCUCGCUCAUACUGAUACAUCCAUCUGUAAUGUACAGGUCCACGAAGCAAUGCUUCAUAUGGGAGGUGGACAGCUAGAUGCUCCAUGACGUCAAAAAAUCCAGGAGGAAAUAUCUUUUCCAAGUUGCACAAUAAGAUGGGAAUGUUCUCCUGAAGCUGUUCCACAACUUCUUCUUUAAGAGUGCGUGUGCUCAGAUUCCUGAAAAAUGCUCCAAUGCCUUUUAUAUUCCAAAAACAAUUAAACACAUUGUUAGUCGUAUAUUAUUUUGCAAACUAGACCGUUAUAAAAUUAUUGUGAUAUAAAACACUACGAACCUGCAAGUGCUUCAUGUACGUUUGUUGGAAGUAGCUCCGCAAAUGCAAAGGACAGUAGUCGUUGCAUAAAGACAUGACAAUCAUGACUCUUCAUCCCAGAGAAAUUUUGACCCUUUUCAACACAUCUAGAGAGAUUUGAAACAUACCCAUCGGGGAACUUCACUUCUGAUGCCACCCAGUUGAACAACACCGACUUUUUUUCUGAAGACAGUCUGAAUAUCGGAACGGGAACUUGUCCAUUGCUUUUAAUAUGUAACUCGCUUCUUGAGCAAAUAUCCGGCAAGUCCAACCUCGAUUUUAUGGUUUCUUUUGUCUUCCCUGGGACAUUCAAUAUUGUAUUCAUGAUGUUCUCAAAGAAAUUCUUCUCUAUAUGCAUCACAUCGAGGUUGUGGCGCAGAAGAAGAUCCUUCCAAUAUGGCAACUCCCAAAAUAUACUCUUCUUGUGCCAGUUGUGAUGAACACCGUAAGAAUCAGGCAUAUUACGAGGGACAUGCCAAUUAUCACCCCAACGAACUGUUUCGUUAGCUCCGUAGUAGUCGAUUUGUGCUUCAAUUUGUUCUCCAGUUAGAUAUGGUGGAGGAGUGUCUCUCACAACCUUUUUGUGCCUAAACAAAUUCUUGUUUCUUCAGUAAGGAUGGCCAAUGGGAAGAAAUCGACGAUGACAAUCAAACCAACUUGUCUUCCUACCAUUCUUCAGUUGAAACGCAUCUGUCGUUCCAUUACAAUAUGGACAAGCUAAUCUCCCAUGUGUAGUCCAUCCAGACAACAUCUCAUAUGCAGGAAAGUCACUUAUGGUCCACAAAAGCAUAGCUCGCAUCGUAAAAUUCGUCUUCGUUGAACAGUCGUACGUCCUCACCCCUGUUGACCACAAAUCCUUCAACUCUUUUAUCAGUGGUUGUAGGAAAACAUCCAGGGACCUUUUUGGAUGGUUCGGACCAGGUAUCAAUAUCGUCAAGAAUAGCAACUCCCGUUGCAUGCACAUCUCCGGUGGCAGGUUGUAUGGCGUAAGAAAGACUGGCCACAAUGAAUAUUGUCUCCCUGACAUUCCGAACGGACUAAAUCCAUCUGUGCAUAAUCCGAGAUACACAUUCCGGCUAUUGCUAGCAAAAUCCGGAUGUACUUUGUUGAAAUGUUUCCAGGCUCUUGCAUCUGAUGGAUGAGUCAUCUCACCAUCCGUCUGAGUAUGCUCGGCAUGCCAUCUCAUCUUUGCAGCAGUCUGCUCUGAUUGAUACAAUCUUUUCAAUAUGUCUGUAAUUGGUAGGUACCACAUCCUUUGGUACGGUACCCUAUUACGUCGCCGUCCUUGCGGCUUGAAUCGUGGCUUCUUGCAGAAUCGACAUACUUCUAGCUUCUCAUCAUCUCCCCAAUAGAUCAUGCAGUUGUCAAUGCAAACAUCUAUCAUCUCCGAAGGCAACCCAAGACUAUAAACUAAUUUCUGAAUCUCAUAAUAAGAAUCAGCAGACAAAUUGUCUUCCGGCAAAUACUCUUUAAACAAGUCCGCCCAUUCGUUCAUGCAACUUUCAGGUAGAUUGUGAUCAGUUUUAAUAUUCAUCAUUCUAGCAGCCAACGACAAUUUAGAGAGACCUUCUCUACAACCACUGUAAAGUGGUUGAUUCGCCGCGUUUAACAUUCCGUAAAACUUUUUUGCAUCUAUAUUAGGUUCUUCAUCUUCAUCAUGAGCUACGAAUGCAUCAGCUACCAUAUCAUGAACCCUAUCAUAAUCUACCAUCUCCUCCUGAUGGUAACUAUGUUCAUUAUGCAAAUGAUGAUUAACCGGUUCUUCCUGAAAAUUGCUAUUACUACUACUAGCUUCAUUCUGAUCAUAAUUAUAACCUUCCCCAUGUUGAAACCAGAUAUAGGCCAUGUUCGUUUGCUCACCCAGGUGAUCCAUCUGGGUGAAGAUGCAAAUUGAUGUUCGUUUAGUGCAUUAUAAUGCUACAUCCAGAUGGAUCACCCAGCUGAACUCAUCUCAAAUUCUCAUCCAAAUGAAGGUGAGUCUUGAUGGUGCAUCUGGAUGCAGAUGCAUCUAGUUCAGUCCAAAAUAAUAAAUGACAAAAAUGAUUUUUUAAAAUUAAAGUAUUAUUUUCAAACCGUAAAUUCUAUUUUUUUUUGCACAUACAUUUUUUCGCUAUAACCAAAAAAUAUAUUUUCUCGCAAAACGGAAAAACACACUUUCCCGUCAAAACCGCAAGAUGCAUUUUUCUGCAAAAAAACAUAAAAACACAUUUUCAUUAAAACACAUUUUUCAGCUAAACCAGUAAAACCACACUUUUCGACCAAAACCCAAAAAAGGCAUAUUCCCGCCAAAACUUCAAAAGCAUUUUCCGGCCAAAACCGCAAAAAGCAUUUUCCCGCCAAAACCGGAAACAACGCAUUUUCUCGACAAAACGAAAAAAAACGCAUUUUCUCGCCAAAACCGAAAAAUACAAUUUUUCCGCCAAAACCGGAAUUUUCCCGCCAAAACUGGAAAACAGAAGUUUCCCGACAAAACCAGAAAACAUAAUUUUCCCACCAAAACCGGAAAAAUGCAUUUUCCCACCAAAACCGGAAAAAUGUAUUUUCCCGCUAAAAUCAGAAAACGUAUUUUCCCGCCAAAACCGGAAAAAUGUAUUUUCCCGCCAAAACCGGAAAAACGCAUUUUUCCGCCAAAACUUCAAAAGCAUUUUCCCGCCAAAACCGCAAAAAGUAUUUUCCUGCCAAAACCGGAAACAACGCAUUUUCCCGCCAAAACCGGAAAAUGUAUUUUACCGCCAAAACCGGAAAAUAAAAUUUUGCCGCCAAAACUGGAAAAACGCAUUUCCCGCCAAAACUGGAAAAAUGCAUUUUCCCGCCAAAACCGGAAAACGCAUUUUUCCGCAAAAACCGGAAAAACGUAUUUUUCCGCCAAAACCGGAAAAAUGUAUUUUUCCGCCAAAAUCGUGAAAAAAGACUUUUCAUGCAAAACACUUUUCCCGCCAAAACUUCAAAACACACUUUUUCCGUCCAACCCGCAAAAAACGUAUUUUUCCGCCAAACCCAUAAAACGUAUUUUUCCGCCAAAACCAUAAAAAUGCACUUGUUCGCGAAAAAUACAUAUUUCCUCAAAAAUCGCAAAAAUAUUUUCGGCCAAAACCGUAAAAAUGCUAUUUUUCCGCCGAAACGUAAAAAAUUAUAUUUUAGUCAUUUUAUUAACAAGUUCACCUAGAUGCAGAUGAAAGUUAAAAAAUGACAAGCAAACGAACAUAGUUGCAUUCAGAUGAUUCAUUUGGAUGCAUGGACGAAAUGAAGAAACGAACAACACCCAGAUGGAGCAUCUGGAUAAGACAUCUAGAUGGACCAUCUGGAUGCAUCUUCUAGAUGUACAAACGAACAGGGCCAUAGUAAUUUGGCGUGAAACCUCUAUUUAUUAAAUGCUUCCAAACAUUUUCACGGUUUGCCAAUUUCGAAUUGUUGCAUUUUCGACAAGGACAUAACAUCUUACCACUUUCUUGGGCGAGCGGUGUUGAAUCUGCUUGGUGCAUAAAUGUCUCCAGCCCCGCAAGGUAUUCUUUCGUCACUCUCCCGUUAGCAUCUCUAUGCAUAUACAUCCAAUUCCGCAACUCGUAAAUAAUCCCAGAGCCAGCCAUUUUUUUUUCUUUCACGUUUUUUGUUGUUGGUGUGUUUAAAAUGAUGUUCAAACAUCCAUAUUUAUAGAAAAUUUCGAAUCUGGUAGUUGUAAUUUUACUAUGAAAUUACGACGAAAAUUAAUUGGAUGGCCAAAAAAAAAACGUGAGCCACCUACCAAGUUGGUGGAUUCAAAAUUUCCUCGUUAAGUACACGUAAAAUAUUUCGUCGUAAAGAACUCGCGAAAUUUACGUGGCUUUUACGAGGAAAUAGUUUUUCCUCGUAAAAGCCACGUCAAUUUACAUCGUCUUUACGACGAAUAUGUUUUGUCAUUACCUUACGACGAAAUAACGAUGCUUUUCUUUUUCCACGUACUUUCCUCGCAAAAUCAACGGUUUUUUACGAGGAUUAUUUUUCCUCGUUAAAUUUCCUCGUUAAGGUUACGUUUUCUUGUAGUGUAUUAGCAUGUACUUCAUCUUCUUCCUUCUUGUUUCUCUGCUUUUUCAAUCGAGUCAAAAUCAACUUAUCCUGCACAGAAGUCAAAUCAACUUAUCUUAUGGAUAUGGAUGGUAUUAAGAGCUUUUGAAUAUAUUUUGAAUUAAUUUGAUAAGGUACACUAUAUAAUAAUAAAUUAAAUGGACAAACAAAUAACUAAAAAAGACUGAAUAUAUAUACAAACUAUAUAGUUAUAAAACCAAUUUAACAUAAAAUUAUGGAUGGAUAGAUUGUGGAUGGACAAGUUGUGUACAUAUAUUUCACACAGAUCAAUCAUUUCUGCAAAUUCAAAUUUUGUGUCCAAAUUAAAAAAACAUCAGAAAACAAGUGACCAUUGUGCAAUUAUGAAAAAGGUUAGAGUGCAAAAUUGGAAGUUAUGGGGGUUGAUUCAAAAAGACAUUUCUGUACGAUUUAGAAGUUUAAAGCACAAUGGGAAAAUAAUAAAGCAUUUAGGGACCUACUAUGAAACUAAGAAGAUAUCGCCAUUGGAAGUUAUCAAGUUCUGGGUUCAGGGCGACAGAGAGCUUGGAGAUUGGUGAUUGGCCGCGGGAAGACGUAACGGGUGUAGCUCGGACACGGUUGGCCACUGAAUCCAACCAGGAACAGGACAUGCGAGGACGCAGACCGGUUUUUGGGUUUUGUGUCACCGGCAAAGGAGGCCUAUGGCGAUUAUCUUGUAAUCAGCUCCUGGAAAUAACUCAACCUCUAGCUCAAUAUCUCUCUGACUCUUUCUUCUCUCAGCGAAGAGCGACCAUGGAGGAGACGCCAUCAUCGGAUUUGAUCUAUUGUCGUCAAAGCCAUCGUUUAUGAAUCCUUCGAAAAGAAUCACUGGUUUCACCACAAGCGAGAUUCUCUGCCAAGCAUGAACGUAUUGGAGGCGACGUAUUUGCCUAUCCCCAUCCAUUUGGAGAGAGAGUAGCGGCUGAUUCUGAAUCCUUGUGAGCCGUUGAUGGUUUCCGUGCUAGAGAUUGACUCUGUUAGAGAUGCAGAAGUCGAUUUCGAAGAUCCACUUAUCAACAGAUUUUAAUCAAACAUCGGAAUGUUCGGAUAGCUAUUCAUCCAAAUUGAAAGCUCCAAAACCCGUGGCAUGCUCCUCAUCCACAUAACACGUCGACUUGGACGAAUCCGAGAGACUCUCGUACCAACUCAGUCACCGUGUUCUCCAUUUAUUCAGACGACGGAGGAGGGAUUAGGGUUCAUUGAUUUGGGAAAGUGAUUUCAAAUUCUAAACAUGAAAAAGAAACAAAGAGGAUAAGGAGAGAAUCGUAAAGAUUUUUCUGAAUUCUAUAGUUUGUGUAAAAGUGACAAUUCAUAUAAAUAAGUAUGUCAGAUGUGUCUCUAGACGUAAUUGUAACUAGACCUUGAUCCGCGACCGCGCGAGUAUUUAAUUUAUGAUAUUUGUAAAUGUAGUCAUAUUUAUAAAUGUAAAUGUUAUAUUUGUAUUUAAUUUUAUAUUUUAGAGUUUUAGAGUAAAA